GUGCCAGCAGCCGCGGUAAUACGUAGGGCGCGAGCGUUGUCCGGAAUUAUUGGGCGUAAAGGGCUCGUAGGCGGUUUGUCGCGUCUAGCGUUUAAGGCUCGGGCUUAACCCGGGUUUGCGUUGGGUACGGGCAGGCUUGAGUGCGGUAGGGGUAACUGGAAUUCCUGGUGUAGCGGUGGAAUGCGCAGAUAUCAGGAGGAACACCGGUGGCGAAGGCGGGUUACUGGGCCGUUACUGACGCUGAGGAGCGAGAGCGUGGGGAGCGAACAGGAUUAGAUACCCUGGUAGUCC
RNAcentral lists this ribosomal RNA (291 nucleotides) under uncultured microorganism. RNAcentral describes it as "partial 16S ribosomal RNA". It matches the Rfam family "Bacterial small subunit ribosomal RNA", at positions 505 to 796 of the family's 1533-position model. The record is from RNAcentral.